This 59-nucleotide transfer RNA is filed under the name Anisakis simplex (herring worm). Its description in RNAcentral is "tRNA-Met". Lineage: Eukaryota; Metazoa; Nematoda; Chromadorea; Rhabditida; Anisakidae. The record is from RNAcentral.
AAUAAGAUAGGAUAAUUUAGUCCGAGAGGUCCAUACCCUCUAGGUGUUUUCUCUUGUUG